This 254-nucleotide ribosomal RNA is filed under the name uncultured bacterium. RNAcentral describes it as "partial 16S ribosomal RNA". It matches the Rfam family "Bacterial small subunit ribosomal RNA", at positions 524 to 776 of the family's 1533-position model. The record is from RNAcentral.
UACGGGGGGAGCAAGCGUUGUUCGGAUUUACUGGGCGUAAAGGGCGCGUAGGCGGUCGUGACAAGUCACUUGUGAAAUCUCCGGGCUUAACUCGGAACGGUCAAGUGAUACUGUCGGACUAGAGUACAGAAGGGGCAACUGGAAUUCUCGGUGUAGCGGUGAAAUGCGCAGAUAUUGGGAGGAACACCAAUGGCGAAGGCAGCACCCUGGGCCGGUACUGACGCUGAGGAGCGAAAGCGUGGGGAGCAAACAGG